This 434-nucleotide ribosomal RNA is filed under the name uncultured Clostridium sp. Its description in RNAcentral is "partial 16S ribosomal RNA". It matches the Rfam family "Bacterial small subunit ribosomal RNA", at positions 341 to 792 of the family's 1533-position model. Lineage: Bacteria; Bacillati; Bacillota; Clostridia; Eubacteriales; Clostridiaceae. The record is from RNAcentral.
ACGGAAGGCAGCAGUGGGGAAUAUUGGACAAUGGGGGAAACCCUGAUCCAGCGACGCCGCGUGAGUGAAGAAGUAUUUCGGUAUGUAAAGCUCUAUCAGCAAGGAAGAAAAUGACGGUACUUGACUAAGAAGCUCCGGCUAACUACGUGCCAGCAGCCGCGGUAAUACGUAGGUGGCAAGCGUUAUCCGGAUUUACUGGGUGUAAAGGGCGCGUAGGCGGGGAAGCAAGUCAGAUGUGAAAUCCAUGGGCUCAACCCAUGAACUGCAUUUGAAACUGUUUCUCUUGAGUGCUGGAGAGGUAGAUGGAAUUCCUAGUGUAGCGGUGAAAUGCGUAGAUAUUAGGAAGAACACCAGUGGCGAAGGCGAUCUACUGGACAGUAACUGACGCUGAGGUGCGAAGGUGCGGGGAGCAAACAGGAUUAGAUACCCUGGUA